GCAAGUCGAGCGCGAAAGCACUUCGGUGUGAGUAGAGCGGCGGACGGGUGAGUAACGCGUAGGAAUCUACCUGGUAGUGGGGGACAACCUGGUGAAAACCAGGCUAAUACCGCAUACGCCCUGAGGGGGAAAGCGGGGGAUCUUCGGACCUCGCGCUAUUGGAUGAGCCUGCGUUGGAUUAGCUAGUUGGUGGGGUAAAGGCUCACCAAGGCGACGAUCUUUAGCUGGUCUGAGAGGAUGACC
Molecule: ribosomal RNA, 243 nt
Filed under: uncultured bacterium
Lineage: Bacteria
Description: partial 16S ribosomal RNA
Rfam family: Bacterial small subunit ribosomal RNA
Source: RNAcentral